UACGUAGGAGGCGAGCGUUGUCCGGAUUCACUGGGCGUAAAGGGCGCGUAGGCGGCGGCUUGAGUCCCUGCGUGAAAUCUCUGGGCUCAACUCAGAGUCUGCUGGGGAAACUGCCGGGCUUGAGUGUGGGAGAGGAGAGUGGAAUUCCCGGUGUAGCGGUGAAAUGCGCAGAUAUCAGGAGGAACACCAAUGGCGAAGGCAGCUCGCUGGAACGGUACUGACGCUGAGGCGCGAAAGCGUGGGGAGCAAACAGG
Molecule: ribosomal RNA, 254 nt
Filed under: uncultured bacterium
Lineage: Bacteria
Description: partial 16S ribosomal RNA
Rfam family: Bacterial small subunit ribosomal RNA
Source: RNAcentral